This 253-nucleotide ribosomal RNA is filed under the name uncultured bacterium. RNAcentral describes it as "partial 16S ribosomal RNA". It matches the Rfam family "Bacterial small subunit ribosomal RNA", at positions 524 to 776 of the family's 1533-position model. The record is from RNAcentral.
UACGGAGGGUGCAAGCGUUGUCCGGAUUUAUUGGGUUUAAAGGGUGCGUAGGCGGUCUUUUAAGUCAGUGGUGAAAGCCUCCAGCUUAACUGGAGAAUUGCCAUUGAUACUGGAAGACUUGAGUACAGACGAGGUAGGCGGAAUUUAUGGUGUAGCGGUGAAAUGCAUAGAUACCAUAAAGAACUCCUAUUGCGAAGGCAGCUUACUAGGCUGUAACUGACGCUGAUGCACGAAAGCGUGGGGAUCAAACAGG